GACGAACGCUGGCGGCGUGCUUAACACAUGCAAGUCGAACGGAAAGGCCCUGCUUUUGUGGGGUGCUCGAGUGGCGAACGGGUGAGUAACACGUGAGUAACCUGCCCUUGACUUUGGGAUAACUUCAGGAAACUGGGGCUAAUACCGGAUAGGAGCUCCUGCUGCAUGGUGGGGGUUGGAAAGUUUCGGCGGUUGGGGAUGGACUCGCGGCUUAUCAGCUUGUUGGUUGGGUAGUGGCUUACCAAGGCUUUGACGGGUAGCCGGCCUGAGAGGGUGACCGGCCACCAUGGGACUGAGAUACGGCCCAGACUCCUACGGGAGGCAGCAGUGGGGAAUAUUGCACAAUGGGAGGAAGCGUGAUGCAGCAACGCCGCGUGCGGGAUGACGGCCUUCGGGUUGUAAACCGCUUUCGCCUGUGACGAAGCGUGAGUGACGGUAAUGGGUAAAGAAGCACCGGCUAACUACGUG
RNAcentral lists this ribosomal RNA (468 nucleotides) under uncultured bacterium. RNAcentral's name for it is "partial 16S ribosomal RNA". It matches the Rfam family "Bacterial small subunit ribosomal RNA", at positions 28 to 507 of the family's 1533-position model. The record is from RNAcentral.